AUAAUUAAAAAAACCAUUUAAUACAGAAACAAACCACUUGAUGUGCUUAUUAUUAAUGUAAUCAUUCAUUAUAUAAGAAAAUCUUUUAUUAAUUAAUAAUUAAUUAUAAUUUUUUUUUCUUCGAUAAUUCUUAUUUUAUUUUUUAUGGAUAUUUAUGAAGUUUAUUGAUAAAAAAAUUGUACGGCUAGUUAACUCAAAUCAUUUUCAUAAUAACUUGGACGAAAAAGGAGGUGGUCUAGAG
RNAcentral lists this long non-coding RNA (241 nucleotides) under Lathyrus oleraceus (garden pea). Its description in RNAcentral is "Pisum sativum (pea) long non-coding RNA (PSAT_LNC015900)". Lineage: Eukaryota; Viridiplantae; Streptophyta; Magnoliopsida; Fabales; Fabaceae. The record is from RNAcentral.